RNAcentral lists this ribosomal RNA (327 nucleotides) under uncultured Pseudomonadota bacterium. RNAcentral's name for it is "bacterial SSU rRNA". It matches the Rfam family "Bacterial small subunit ribosomal RNA", at positions 29 to 351 of the family's 1533-position model. The record is from RNAcentral. Lineage: Bacteria; Pseudomonadati; Pseudomonadota.
AACGAACGCUGGCGGCGUGCUUAACACAUGCAAGUCGAACGCGAAAGUUUUCUUCGGAAAGCGAGUAGAGUGGCGCACGGGUGAGUAACGCGUAAGUAAUCUACCCUGGUAUCUGGGAUAACCCACCGAAAGGUGUGCUAAUACCGGAUACGCUGAGUAAUCAGGAAAGGUGGCCUCUUCAUGAAAGCUACUGUACCAGGAGGAGCUUGCGUACCAUUAGCUAGUUGGUAGGGUAAUGGCCUACCAAGGCAACGAUGGUUAGCGGGUCUGAGAGGAUGAUCCGCCACACUGGAACUGGAACACGGACCAGACUCCUACGGGUGGCUG